CCACUCGCCACUCUCUCUGCGCUGCGCGGGCACGAUCGAUCGACAUGGACAAUCCUCCUCCUCCUCCGGCGGCGGCGGCGGCCAACGAUGUGGCCAACUUUCUGGCGGCCGCAGCGGACAACAUCCUGCCCAAUCCUCCGGCUGCUCCGGACGAUGAUGAUGUGGCCAUGGCGUGCUGUUGCUGCCUCUCUGUCGUCGUCGCGCUGGGCUUAUCUCUGGCUCUGGCGGUGCUGUUGACGAUCCAUCCAUGGAGUCCAUGACACAUCAUCCACGGCGCGCGACGUGGCGUACCUCUCUCCUCCCCGACGUGCUCCAUCUUCAGACAUGUUUCAUUCGCUAGCAACUUCCUUGGAAUCAUCAGACAUGGGUCGUUCUCUUGCAGUGCUACUUUCUUGAGAUCGAGCGAUCUGGUAUUGUGGUCCAGCAGUAGUUUCUAGCACUUUGAUCGUUCUAAUAAACCGAUCGAGUUGGUUUCAGUUUGGUGUGUCUCGCAAACUGGUUAAGUAUUUUGCUUGGUUAAGUAGUAUUACGAGUGUCAUCUAUGUAGCUCAUUGUGGACCAGGUAAAAUCGGAUUUGUGUGCCCAGAGUGAA
Lolium perenne is the source of this 592-nucleotide long non-coding RNA. RefSeq lists it as uncharacterized. Lineage: Eukaryota; Viridiplantae; Streptophyta; Magnoliopsida; Poales; Poaceae. The record is from RefSeq and is a predicted model, not a curated record.